This 307-nucleotide small nuclear RNA is filed under the name Saimiri boliviensis boliviensis (Bolivian squirrel monkey). RNAcentral's name for it is "7SK RNA (ENSSBOG00000002719.1)". It matches the Rfam family "7SK RNA". From Rfam's summary of the family: 7SK was discovered as an abundant small nuclear RNA in the mid-70s but a possible function has only recently been suggested. Two independent studies have found that 7SK RNA binds the CDK9/cyclin T complex (known as elongation factor P-TEFb). The record is from Rfam by way of RNAcentral. Lineage: Eukaryota; Metazoa; Chordata; Mammalia; Primates; Cebidae.
AGAUUUGAGGGUGAUACGGCUGUAACAUAGGUCCCCCCAUUGAUCGCCAGGAUUGAUUUGGCUGAUCUGGCUGGAUAGAUAGGUGUCCCCUUUCUUCCUCGCUGCUCCAUUUGUGUCCCUCCUAAAGCUUCAGGCUCAGUUGAAGAGGAUGAGAGGACGACCCUCUCUGAUAGAGGAGGACCAUUCUUCUGUCAAAGGCAUACAGGUAUCUGGACUUCCCUGCUAGAACUUCCGAACAAGCUCAGAGAAGUUUCUUCUCGCGUCUGCACGGGUUCAGCACCACGGACAGCGCCCUCGUCGCGCUGUU